Molecule: long non-coding RNA, 3597 nt
Organism: Cajanus cajan (pigeon pea)
Lineage: Eukaryota; Viridiplantae; Streptophyta; Magnoliopsida; Fabales; Fabaceae
Source: RefSeq, a predicted model, not a curated record
GUGGUGGUUAUGCUGGUAACAAGUUUGGGUUUGCCAGUGGCAGCUGUGGUGAACUAUGCUGACAACACAGGCUAAGAAUCUUUACAUUAUAUCGGUGAAAGGAAUCAAGGAUAGCCUCAACAGAUUGCGGUGAAUUUUUUACGCAACUGGAAUUUUUAAUUUUUUUUUACCAAAAAUGCACAUGUUACACUUUAUUUACACAUCUAACAUCAUUUACUAUUCACACUCAGAAUUCGAUUUCUGGGAAACCGAAUUCUGAGCUUAAAUUUUUUUUUUGUGAUCAGAAUUCAGUUCCUGGGAAACCGAAUUCCGAGUAGUUUUUAAUUUUUUUUUUGCACAUGUAAACUGCUAAUUUUGAAAUUAGAACGGCUGCAGAACGGGCCGUUCUAGAGUUAAGCUUUAACGCAUAACUUGAGUUCUGAAACGGCCCGUUUCAAACUAGGAUUUAGUCAUUUUUAGUAUGUUGGAAUGGGCCGUUCUGGUUUUGGAACUACCCCUUCCAAAAUAGGAAUUUAGGCUUUUUUUAUUAGUUUGAAACGGGUCGUUCUAAAACCGGAAUGACCCGUUCCAAAACUGGAACGACACGUUUCAAAAUCGGAACCGCCUGUUCAGGGCAAACAUAGAAUUCAAUAUUUUUCCUAUAAAUAUGCCCUCUACCCUUCAUUCUUUUCACACGGUUUCAGCUUACUUUUUUCAAUCCUUUACUCUACUCCUUUUGAAUCAUUCCUAAGUAAAAAAUUCUUUUUUUGGUUCGAUUUUCAUUUACCAAAUACCAAAAAUAUUAUUGUGAAAGCAAAAUGAACAUAGGUCUGUCUUCAUUGGUACAGUGGUAAGUUGAACACUUUCGUUAUUUACUUUAAAUUUUAAUGAACUUGUAACAAAUUAGUACUAAUUUUGUUAAUCAUCGCAAGAGAAUGAGAAUAUUAUUUACUUUUACUGUCAUUCAAUGCCAGAACCCCACCCUCUAAUUGUUCUUAUACUAGAGGAAGUUGGUUUUUCUGGGAUUACAAACCUCAGACAUCUCAAGGUGGAUCACGCAUUAGUCACAACUUUGGUUGAAAGAUGGAGACCUGAGACUCAUACCUUCCAUUUUCCAACAGGAGAGUGCACGAUAAUAUUAGAGGAUGUUGUACUUCAACUUGGCCUAAGAGUUGAUGGUUUACCAGUCAUUGGCCCAAUAUUAUAUGACCGGCUCAGAAUCGUGCCAGUUAAAUGUGAGUCACUAAUUGGCUCUAUGAUUAAGUUAAAGUGGUUGAGAGAAAAUAUGUUAGAAUUAGCAGAGGAACCAUCUCAAGAAGAACUUCAUGCAUAUUGUAAGGCAUAUAUAUUAAGUUUAAUAGGAGGUGUUUUGAUGCCUGACAAAGCAGACAAUAAGGUACAUCUUAUGUAUUUAUCUUUAUUAAUAAAUCUUAGAAAAACAAGACGAUAUAGUUGGGGAUCUGCUUGUUUGGCUAUGUUAUAUAGGGAAAUGUGUAGAGCUACAGAUGUUAGCAGCAAAACAAUUAGUGGUUGUGCAUCUUUGUUACAGUCUUGGACAUGGCAUCGCAUGCCAUAUAUCUUUGCUAGAGGGAAUGUUGAUGGUACCCUAUAUGGCAUGCGAUGCCAUGUCCAAGACUGUAACAAAGAUGCACAACCACUAAUUGUUUUGCUGCUAACAUCUGUAGCUCUACACAUUUCCCUAUAUAACAUAGCCAAACAAGCAGAUCCCCAACUAUAUCGUCUUGUUUUUCUAAGAUUUAUUAAUAAAGAUAAAUACAUAAGAUGUACCUUAUUGUCUGCUUUGUCAGGCAUCAAAACACCUCCUAUUAAACUUAAUAUAUAUGCCUUACAAUAUGCAUGAAGUUCUUCUUGAGAUGGUUCCUCUGCUAAUUCUAACAUAUUUUCUCUCAACCACUUUAACUUAAUCAUAGAGCCAAUUAGUGACUCACCUUUAACUGACACGAUUUCGAGAUACGUGGAACACAUAUCCUCCCGGUCAUAUAAUCUUGGGCCAAUGACUGGUAAACCAUCAACUCUUAGGCCAAGUUUAAGUGCAAUAUCCUCCGGUGUUAUCGUGCACUCGCCUGUUGGAAAAUGGAAGGUAUGAGUCUCAGGUCUCCAUCUUUCAACCAAAGCUGUGACUAAUGCGUGAUCCACCUUGAGAUGUCUGAGGUUUGCAACCCCAGAAAAACUAACUUCCUCUAGUAUAGGAACAAUUAGAGGGUGGGGUUCUGACAUUGAAUGAUAGUAAGAGUAAAUAAUAUUCUCAGUCUCCUGCAAUGAUUAACAAAAUUAGUACUAAUUUGUUACAAGUUCAUUGAAAUUUAAAGUAAAUAACGAAAGUGUUCAACUUACCGUUGUACCAAUGUAGGCAGACCUAUGUUUAUUUUGCUUCCAUAAUAAUAUUUUUGGUAUUUGAUAAAUAAAAAUCAAACCAAAAAAAGAAUUUUUUACUUAGAAAUUGAUUCAGAAGGAGUAGAGGGAAGGAUUGAAAAAAGUAAGCUGAAAUCGUGUGGAGAGAAUGAAAGGUGGAGGGCGUAUUUGUAGGAAAAGCAUUGGAUUUCCUAUUUUCCCAGAAUGGGCCGUUUCAAAACCAGAACGAUUCGUUCUAACCCACGAUUUUAUGCCUAAAACCGUAGUUUGGAACAGGCCGUUCCGGUUUUGGAAUGGUCCAUUUCAAACUAAUAGAAAAGGCCUAAAUUCCUAUAUUGGAACGGGUAGUUCCAAAACUAGAACGGCCCGUUCCAACAUACUAAAAAGGACUAAAAUCCUAGUUUGAAACGGGCCGUUUCAGAACUCAAGUUAUGCAUUAAAGCUUAACUCUAGAACAGUUCGUUUUGCGGCCGUUCUAAUUUCAAAAUUAACAGUUUACGUGUGCAAGCAGAACGAGCCGUUUCAGUUCCAAGAUUCGCGUAAUCUGGGCCACAAGAAAAAAGAAUUAAAAACUACUCAGAAUUCGGUUCCUGGGGAAUUGAAUUCUGAUGGCAAAAAAAAAUUUUUGAAACUCAGAAUUCGGUUCCCCGGGAACCGAUUUCUGAGUGUGAACAAUGAAUGGUGCUAGAUGUGUAAAUAAAGUAUAAUAGAUGCGUUUUUGGUAUUGCCAGCUGGUAUUGUGAGACAACAAAAGCCAUGGUGAAGAAAGGAUGGCGUCUACAUGUACUUUGAAGGUUGUUCGUGUGUUUGUUGGUUUAUAUGAGAUUUGUCAUUUGCAUACUCUUGUUUAGGUUCUGCCAUAACUGGGCCUAUUGGGAAGGAGUGUGCUGAUCUGUGGCCUAGAAUUGCAAGUGCUGCCAAUUCCGUUGUUUGAGUGUUAAAGUUAUUGAUCAAUUUUCAACAUGGUCAACAUUCAAAUGAAUUUUUUGACCAGUUAGCCAUUGAAUUUUCUACGAUCGUAGAAUGUGAAGACAUUUUUCAAUAGGAGUUAUACAAUAUUUUGUUUAUUUUUAAGUUUUUUACAGGAAACAUUUCAUUGGUACAUUAUGAACAUUAAUUGAAGCUGUAACUCGCAGCCUAUUGAGUUGGGGCACGUUGGAUUGAAAUUUUUUUUGCUUGCAGAUUCAUGUUUGAUUGUACAUGAUGAAUGGUUCCACUGAAAUGAUCCAAGAAGUAAAAUAACCA